RNAcentral lists this ribosomal RNA (855 nucleotides) under uncultured Bacteroidota bacterium. Its description in RNAcentral is "bacterial SSU rRNA". It matches the Rfam family "Bacterial small subunit ribosomal RNA", at positions 1 to 848 of the family's 1533-position model. Lineage: Bacteria; Pseudomonadati; Bacteroidota. The record is from RNAcentral.
GCCCUUAGAGUUUGAUCCUGGCUCAGGAUGAACGCUAGCUACAGGCUUAACACAUGCAAGUCGAGGGGCAGCAUUUCAGUUUGCUUGCAAACUGGAGAUGGCGACCGGCGCACGGGUGAGUAACACGUAUCCAACCUGCCGAUAACUCGGGGAUAGCCUUUCGAAAGAAAGAUUAAUACCCGAUGGCAUAAUUAGACCGCAUGGUCUUAUUAUUAAAGAAUUUCGGUUAUCGAUGGGGAUGCGUUCCAUUAGGCAGUUGGUGAGGUAACGGCUCACCAAACCUUCGAUGGAUAGGGGUUCUGAGAGGAAGGUCCCCCACAUUGGAACUGAGACACGGUCCAAACUCCUACGGGAGGCAGCAGUGAGGAAUAUUGGUCAAUGGGCGCAGGCCUGAACCAGCCAAGUAGCGUGAAGGAUGACUGCCCUAUGGGUUGUAAACUUCUUUUAUAUGGGAAUAAAGUUUUCCACGUGUGGAAUUUUGUAUGUACCAUAUGAAUAAGGAUCGGCUAACUCCGUGCCAGCAGCCGCGGUAAUACGGAGGAUCCGAGCGUUAUCCGGAUUUAUUGGGUUUAAAGGGAGCGUAGGUGGACAGUUAAGUCAGUUGUGAAAGUUUGCGGCUCAACCGUAAAAUUGCAGUUGAUACUGGCUGUCUUGAGUACAGUAGAGGUGGGCGGAAUUCGUGGUGUAGCGGUGAAAUGCUUAGAUAUCACGAAGAACUCCGAUUGCGAAGGCAGCUCACUGGACUGCAACUGACACUGAUGCUCGAAAGUGUGGGUAUCAAACAGGAUUAGAUACCCUGGUAGUCCACACAGUAAACGAUGAAUACUCGCUGUUUGCGAUAUACAGUAAGCGGCC